This 464-nucleotide ribosomal RNA is filed under the name uncultured bacterium. RNAcentral describes it as "partial 16S ribosomal RNA". It matches the Rfam family "Bacterial small subunit ribosomal RNA", at positions 28 to 507 of the family's 1533-position model. The record is from RNAcentral.
GACGAACGCUGGCGGCGUGCUUAACACAUGCAAGUCGAACGGUAAGGCCCCUUCUGGGGUACACGAGUGGCGAACGGGUGAGUAACACGUGGGUGAUCUGCCCUGCACUUCGGGAUAAGCCUGGGAAACUGGGUCUAAUACCGGAUAGGACCACGCUCUUCAUGGAGUGUGGUGGAAAGCUUUUGCGGUGUGGGAUGGGCCCGCGGCCUAUCAGCUUGUUGGUGGGGUGAUGGCCUACCAAGGCGACGACGGGUAGCCGGCCUGAGAGGGUGUCCGGCCACACUGGGACUGAGAUACGGCCCAGACUCCUACGGGAGGCAGCGGUGGGGAAUAUUGCACAAUGGGCGCAAGCCUGAUGCAGCGACGCCGCGUGGGGGAUGACGGCCUUCGGGUUGUAAACCUCUUUCAGUACCGACGAAGCGCAAGUGACGGUAGGUACAGAAGAAGCACCGGCCAACUACGUG